GACGAACGCUGGCGGCGUGCUUAACACAUGCAAGUCGAACGCGCCUGUCCUCUGGGUUUCUGGGGGGUGGGUGAGUGGCGAACGGGUGAGUAACACGUGAGUAACCUGCCCCCUUCUUCGGGAUAACGGUCUGAAAGGGCUGCUAAUACCGGGUAUUCACUGGUCUCCGCAUGGGGUCUGGUGGAAAGGUUUUUUUCUGGUGGGGGAUGGGCUCGCGGCCUAUCAGCUUGUUGGUGGGGUGAUGGCCCACCAAGGCUUUGACGGGUAGCCGGCCUGAGAGGGUGACCGGGCACAGUGGGGCUGAGAUACGGCCCAGACUCCUACGGGAGGCAGCAGUGGGGAAUAAUGCACAAUGGGCGCAAGCCUGAUGCAGCGACGCCGCGUGAGGGAUGGAGGCCUUCGGGUUGUGAACCUCUUUCGCCCGUGGUCAAGCCGCGACGUGGGUCGUGGUGAGGGUAGUGGGUAAAGAAGCGCCGGCUAACUACGUG
Molecule: ribosomal RNA, 488 nt
Filed under: uncultured bacterium
Lineage: Bacteria
Description: partial 16S ribosomal RNA
Rfam family: Bacterial small subunit ribosomal RNA
Source: RNAcentral